AAGUUCUGGGAUUACAGGCAUGAGCCACUGCACCCAGCCCAAUACCUAUUUUACAGAUGGGACACAGAGGCUCGGGUCAGGGUUAAGUUUUCUUAAGGCCAGCUGUAGUUAGUGGCUAGCACCUGGCUCUCCCGCCUGUACGUUUUUUAUACUUGAUUCUGCAUCUCACUCAAAAAGGCUACUAGGAGAAUUCAGCAAGCGUUUUGAAAAUUGUUUAGCCUAGUGCCACUAAAUAGAAGUUAAUUUUGAAUUUGCAAAUUAAAGUUCCUCUUAUCCCUCCCUGGUUCUGACAGUAAGUACCCUUGGAAGACUCACAGACAGUCUGAAGGAGGGGAGGGUGGCUGGGAAGCACCUUUCCUGCUGGGUGCUGGAGGAGUGCCCCGAUUCCUUACAACAUCCCAAAUCCUAUGAGACAGUUAUUGACAUGCUUCCUUUACAGAGCAGGAAAUGGAAGCUUGGAGAGCUGAGGGCACAUGCCCAUUCUUCCCUCUUUAUUUAUAGAGGAAUCCUUUUAUUUUUGAAGGAAGAAAUGUGCUUAACAAAGAAAUUAUCUUUCCCAACCUUCUUUGCAACCAGGGAUGGUCCAUGAGAUAUAAAUGGAAAUUGUAGGUCAGGGCUUCUUAAAACGUUCUCUAGAGUGACUGAUCCAGCUGCAAAGCGCAUGCUUUUGUUUUCCUCUCCUGCCUUUUCCUGAUUACAUGUAAGACUUGAUGACUGGAGCCUAGCAGUUAUCUUACUAGAAGGAAGAUGAAAGCUACAUGCUAGGGGUAGCCAAGGAAGGAGAUGGCAGGCUCCGCCAGCCCAACUCUGGGCUUCUCAUCAUGACGGAAGCCACAGUUUUUCAUAUUCUGUGCUAGAACCGAACACAAUUUGUAACCAGUAACAUGUAUCAAAAGCUUUAGUCUGGUUCAGCAUCUGAUGAAAAGGCAGGUUGAAGAGUGCCAUUGCCUCGUGCUUACCUGGAUUUCUCUGGUGUGCUGUCGAGACACUCUGGCCUCUGUAGGUUGAUUCUCGAUGACUCUGUAGGGGAGCAGACUGUAUAAAUGGCAAGUGAUCCCAUUGCUGGGGGAGACGUGGCACUGGGUGAUGGACAGCUAGGAAGCUGAUGGAAAGCCCUUGAUUUUACCACGUCUAUCCAAUACCUCCAAAGCAAACAUGCCUGCCUGGAAGGCCCGGGAAAAUGUCAACAACAUAUUUGAAUCUGUAAAUCACGAAUGCCAUCAAAUGGAGAGGUGCAGAGAGUAUGGAGAGCACCGAGAGGGGCUGCAAGCGGGAAGACAGUGUGCAGGAGUCACAUUCACAUCCCUGCCCCGCUCUGAGCUGCUUUUCUCAUCUGUACAAUAAGCAAGAUGGGUCUGGUGACUCUGAGGAAGGAAGCCGCUCGGUCUUCUGUGAGUGGGGAGGCAGAGGAUGUCCUAGCUUCAGUUUACUGGUCUGUGGUCCCAGACCCUUGAGCUCCAGCAUGGCGCUGCCCAUUUCUUGCUGUUUGAUGCUGGACAGCUCCCAAGCCCUUUCCGGGUCUCCGUCUCUCCAUCUAUAAAAAUAAUAGCUCACAUUGACAGUCAGUUUUCACAAAUGUAUCCUUAUCAUGCAAGAACUAAUUAACCUGAUUUUACAGAUAAGGAAACUAAGACUCAAGAGAAGACAAAUCUUGCCCAAGGUCCUAGAGCUAGUGUAUAAUAGAAUCAGGAUUUGAAUCUAGUUCUACCUUCUAUGAAAGCUUGUAACCUUCACACUACAUCACAAUUUCCUCCUUUUAGAGCAGAGCUGUGACUUCCUUGUGGGGUAGGGGUAACUGUUCUCUAUCUUACUGAAGAGGUUUGUUCCUUGAAGACUUGAGAACAGAUGUGCUCAACCAUUUGAAAGGUUGGAACCCCACUAAAGCCUUAAUUGCAAAGAUGUCUUAAAGCAUGUGCAUGGUUUGAAUGCAUGUGUCCCUCCAAAAUUCAUAUGUUGGAACUUAAACCCCAAAGCAGUGGUAUUAAGAGGUGGGGCCUGUUGGGAAUCAAUUAAGUCAUAAGGGUUCUGUACUCAUGAAUAGAACAGUGUCCUUAUAAAGGUGGCCUCAGAUAGCUGCCUAGCCCCUCCACUUCUCUUUUGCCAUGUGAGGACAUAGCAUUUGUCCUUUUGCCCUUUCGUCCUUUCUCUCUUGUGAUUGCAGUGAGAAGGUGUCAUCUUGGAAGCAGAUAGAAAGCCUUUACCAGACACCAAGUCUGCUGGCACUUUGAUCUUGGACUUCCAGCCUCCAGAACUGUGAGACGCACUGGAGCUGUUGAGGAGUGAAGCACCUGCCCUCAGGCAGAUGGGCAGAGGGGUGAACGAGAAGAGUGGAAGCCACGCUAUUAAGAACUGAUGAUGUUUGAGUGUUCUCUCUGCAUUGGACGCUGGUGACAAGGUAGCUUGGUUAGACCUGCAUGUCGAGAAAUACAGUGUCUCAUUUUUGGAAACAUUAAGGAGCAGUCCUGCUCAGCUGGGUGGUGACUCCUGAGCAGUGGAGGAUUUAACCAGCAGGUGAGGGAGAAGGAAAGGUGUCCGAGGUGGUUGGGACAGCAUGGACUAAGGCUUGGCACUGACCCGAGUUAGUUCCUGCCCAAAAGAAGCCCUGACUUUUGAGCACCUCCUUGUGUAUUUUCUGUGGGAUUGGAUUGCCACAAAUUAUAGUCAGUAAGGAAAAUUCGCAUCCUUCAUCUUUUGCUAGCGGGAAAAGCUAUGGAGGAGAUGAACUUCCGAUUAAAUGCCAUUUUGCCUCUGACCAGCCAUGUGGCCUCAGGCAAGUCACUUCACCUCUCUGACCCUGAGUUGCCACACCUAACCAAAGACUCAUUCACUGGAUCACUCAGUAAAAAUCCGAAUUCAAUGAGAUAAAUGUGUAUGAGGUCCACUACAGGAUUUCUUCCCCACCUCGUCACUUCCGCAGGUUUUAAAAUUUAAUACAUUGUAAUCAAAUAGUAGCAGCAGUAAAUAAACACUUUGAAAAACAA
Non-coding RNA from Macaca mulatta (Rhesus monkey), 2981 nucleotides. The record is from RefSeq and is a predicted model, not a curated record. NCBI's taxonomy places the organism in Eukaryota, Metazoa, Chordata, Mammalia, Primates, Cercopithecidae.